RNAcentral lists this transfer-messenger RNA (300 nucleotides) under Anaerolineae bacterium. It matches the Rfam family "transfer-messenger RNA". From Rfam's summary of the family: Bacterial tmRNA, also known as 10Sa RNA or SsrA, is named for its dual tRNA and mRNA-like properties. Its role is to liberate the mRNA from a stalled ribosome. The record is from RNAcentral. Lineage: Bacteria; Bacillati; Chloroflexota; Anaerolineae.
GGGCCCGAAAUGGUUUCGACCGGAACUGGAAUUGGGAUGCAGCGUGUCGUGGUUGAUCGGUUGGCCACGUUAAAAGCCGAUCGCAAAACUAUCUGCCAANNNNNNGUAGGAUGAGACGUAAAUGAUCGGCAUGCUCUCUCCAAGGUGCGCGGAGUAAGGGAGAGCGAGAACACGCCGCGCUAGGUGACGGGAAGACUGGUGAUGGCCGCCCCCGAGCCGAAUACAAAGCAUCACCUACACACGUAGACGCACUCAAGGAAUGUUCUUGGGACGGGGGUUCGAUUCCCCCCGGGUCCACCA